RNAcentral lists this ribosomal RNA (245 nucleotides) under uncultured Acetatifactor sp. Its description in RNAcentral is "partial 16S ribosomal RNA". It matches the Rfam family "Bacterial small subunit ribosomal RNA", at positions 524 to 768 of the family's 1533-position model. The record is from RNAcentral. Lineage: Bacteria; Bacillati; Bacillota; Clostridia; Lachnospirales; Lachnospiraceae.
UACGUAGGGGGCAAGCGUUAUCCGGAUUUACUGGGUGUAAAGGGAGCGCAGGCGGCGGGAUAAGUCAGCAGUGAAAGCCCGGGGCUCAACCCCGGGACUGCUGUUGAAACUGUCCGGCUUGAUUGCGGGAGGGGCGCGCGGAAUUCCUGGUGUAGCGGUGAAAUGCGUAGAUAUCAGGAGGAACACCGGUGGCGAAGGCGGCGCGCUGGACCGCGAAUGACGCUGAGGCUCGAAAGCGUGGGGAG